CUUUAGCCCCGAUUGCAGUGAAAAUCCUUGUAUGCCGGGUUUCGGCAUACAAGAUUGUAACGAAAAGCGGGAGCAAUG
RNAcentral lists this small RNA (78 nucleotides) under Flavobacterium aquicola. RNAcentral describes it as "Flavo-1 RNA". It matches the Rfam family "Flavo-1 RNA". The record is from RNAcentral. Lineage: Bacteria; Pseudomonadati; Bacteroidota; Flavobacteriia; Flavobacteriales; Flavobacteriaceae.